This 448-nucleotide ribosomal RNA is filed under the name uncultured bacterium. RNAcentral's name for it is "bacterial SSU rRNA". It matches the Rfam family "Bacterial small subunit ribosomal RNA", at positions 355 to 825 of the family's 1533-position model. The record is from RNAcentral.
UGGGGAAUCUUGGACAAUGGGCGCAAGCCUGAUCCAGCCAUGCCGCGUGGAUGAUGAAGGCCUUAGGGUUGUAAAAUCCUUUUCGUGGGGGACGAUAAUGACGGUACCCCAAGAAGAAGCUCCGGCUAACUUCGUGCCAGCAGCCGCGGUAAUACGAAGGGGGCUAGCGUUGUUCGGAUUUACUGGGCGUAAAGCGCGUGUAGGCGGGUCGUUAAGUUGGGGGUGAAAUCCCGAGGCUCAACCUCGGAACUGCCUUCAAAACUGGCGACCUGGACUCAAGCAGAGGCAAGUGGAAUUGCGAGUGUAGAGGUGAAAUUCGUAGAUAUUCGCAGGAACACCAGUGGCGAAGGCGACUUGCUGGGCUUGUAGUGACGCUGAGACGCGAAAGCGUGGGGAGCAAACAGGAUUAGAUACCCCUGUAGUCCCUGAGCGGGCUGGCAAGGCGCAU